Molecule: ribosomal RNA, 251 nt
Filed under: uncultured bacterium
Lineage: Bacteria
Description: partial 16S ribosomal RNA
Rfam family: Bacterial small subunit ribosomal RNA
Source: RNAcentral
UACGAAGGGGGCUAGCGUUGCUCGGAAUCACUGGGCGUAAAGCGCACGUAGGCGGCUUUUUAAGUCAGGGGUGAAAUCCUGGAGCUCAACUCCAGAACUGCCUUUGAUACUGAGAAGCUUGAGUCCGAGAGGUGAGUGGAACUGCGAGUGUAGAGGUGAAAUUCGUAGAUAUUCGCAAGAACACCAGUGGCGAAGGCGGCUCACUGGCCCGGUACUGACGCUGAGGUGCGAAAGCGUGGGGAGCAAACAGG